UACGAAGGGGGCUAGCGUUGCUCGGAAUCACUGGGCGUAAAGGGUGCGUAGGCGGGUCUUUAAGUCGGGGGUGAAAUCCUGGAGCUCAACUCCAGAACUGCCUUCGAUACUGGAAGACUUGAGUCCGGGAGAGGUGAGUGGAACUGCGAGUGUAGAGGUGAAAUUCGUAGAUAUUCGCAAGAACACCAGUGGCGAAGGCGGCUCACUGGCCCGGUACUGACGCUGAGGUGCGAAAGCGUGGGGAGCAAACAGGG
RNAcentral lists this ribosomal RNA (254 nucleotides) under uncultured bacterium. Its description in RNAcentral is "partial 16S ribosomal RNA". It matches the Rfam family "Bacterial small subunit ribosomal RNA", at positions 524 to 777 of the family's 1533-position model. The record is from RNAcentral.